Molecule: ribosomal RNA, 466 nt
Filed under: uncultured bacterium
Lineage: Bacteria
Description: partial 16S ribosomal RNA
Rfam family: Bacterial small subunit ribosomal RNA
Source: RNAcentral
GACGAACGCUGGCGGCGUGCUUAACACAUGCAAGUCGAACGGAAAGGCCCUGCUUGCAGGGUACUCGAGUGGCGAACGGGUGAGUAACACGUGGGUGAUCUCCCCUGCACUUCGGGAUAAGCUUGGGAAACUGGGUCUAAUACCGGAUAGGAGCCAUCUUUAGUGUGGUGGUUGGAAAGUUUUUUCGGUGUAGGAUGAGCUCGCGGCCUAUCAGCUUGUUGGUGGGGUAAUGGCCUACCAAGGCGGCGACGGGUAGCCGGCCUGAGAGGGUGUACGGCCACAUUGGGACUGAGAUACGGCCCAGACUCCUACGGGAGGCAGCAGUGGGGAAUAUUGCACAAUGGGCGCAAGCCUGAUGCAGCGACGCCGCGUGGGGGAUGAAGGCCUUCGGGUUGUAAACUCCUUUCGCUAGGGACGAAGCUUUUUUGUGACGGUACCUAGAUAAGAAGCACCGGCUAACUACGUG